RNAcentral lists this transfer RNA (72 nucleotides) under Ornithorhynchus anatinus (platypus). It matches the Rfam family "tRNA". From Rfam's summary of the family: Transfer RNA (tRNA) molecules are approximately 80 nucleotides in length. Their secondary structure includes four short double-helical elements and three loops (D, anti-codon, and T loops). Lineage: Eukaryota; Metazoa; Chordata; Mammalia; Monotremata; Ornithorhynchidae. The record is from Rfam by way of RNAcentral.
AGCAGGGUGGCUCAGUGGAAAGAGCACAGGUUUGGGAGUCAGAGGUCAUGGGUUCUAAUCCCUGCUCUGCCA